RNAcentral lists this ribosomal RNA (253 nucleotides) under uncultured bacterium. Its description in RNAcentral is "partial 16S ribosomal RNA". It matches the Rfam family "Bacterial small subunit ribosomal RNA", at positions 83 to 339 of the family's 1533-position model. The record is from RNAcentral.
GGAUGCUGACGAGUGGCGAACGGGUGAGUAACAUAUCGGAACGUGCCCAGUCGUGGGGGAUAACGCAGCGAAAGCUGUGCUAAUACCGCAUACGAUCUAAGGAUGAAAGCGGGGGAUCUUCGGGCCUCGCGCGAUUGGAGCGGCCGAUGUUAGAUUAGGUAGUUGGUGGGGUAAAGGCUCACCAAGCCGACGAUCAGUAGCUGGUCUGAGAGGACGAUCAGCCACACUGGAACUGAGACACGGUCCAGACUCC